Long non-coding RNA from Delphinapterus leucas (beluga whale), 437 nucleotides. RefSeq lists it as uncharacterized. NCBI's taxonomy places the organism in Eukaryota, Metazoa, Chordata, Mammalia, Artiodactyla, Monodontidae. The record is from RefSeq and is a predicted model, not a curated record.
UUUUUUGUUUGUUUUGCUCUCUUUUAGGCUGGUCAGCAAGGAAUUGAGAGUAGAGCUGAGACAAUCUAAAGACUUCUGGGUGGCUUGUGGACUCCUGGAGUUCAGGGCAAUUUGAGCACCAGCCCAAAAGGGACUCAGCAAUAAGAGAGCUGAAGAGGAGGAAAUUUCUUCACCAUCCCCAUUUCAGAGGAGAAGGAUGGGAGGGAGGAGGAACUGGCCAUCUCUUUAAAUGAGUCACAGAGUUCAUGGUUUAAUUUGUCUCUUCUAAAGCUGGAGGCCAGGGACAACAAACAAUCUAAUUCUUCAGGGACAAAAGAAAGCACAAUCAUAAAGCAUACAUGGGGGCUUCCCUGGUGGCCUGCCGAUGCAGGGGACACAGGUUCGUGCCCCUGUCCGGGAAGAUCCCACAUGCUGCGGAGCGGCUGGGCCCAUGAGCC